AUCCACUCAUUAUAACUCCAUACACUCCUCUCCCUAGCCUAUAAAUACAUCCACCCUUCACCAUAAUUUAGGGGCCAUCAUUCAAAGACACUACAUUUCACAUCUCACAACUUCAUUCACAAACACAAUUAACUUGCCGUGACCUCCAUCCAUUCAUCUAGCCAUACUACAUCUCACCAAUCCAUACACUUUCAUCUCUUAGCCGUGCAAAUACAUUCCAUCCAUAUAUCCAUACACAUCCUAGACACUUGUGCUACAACAAGGUGGUGAAAACAAAGGUCUUUGGCGUUUCAAGCUUGGAACUUUGGAGCGUUUUAGGUGUACUUCGUUCUUGCUUUCAAUGUCUACUUUGUUAUU
This 357-nucleotide long non-coding RNA is filed under the name Malus domestica (apple). RNAcentral describes it as "long non-coding RNA (MDOM_LNC018872)". The record is from RNAcentral. Lineage: Eukaryota; Viridiplantae; Streptophyta; Magnoliopsida; Rosales; Rosaceae.